Non-coding RNA from Cinara cedri, 1302 nucleotides. The record is from the annotation of a GenBank genome assembly. Lineage: Eukaryota; Metazoa; Arthropoda; Insecta; Hemiptera; Aphididae.
CUAGGCGUGCUGCUUUGUCAACAAUAAUAUGUAAUAUUAUGGUAAAAUUCCGAUUAUUCCAAUUUAAAAAUUAAAAUGGAUCCCGUUUUUCUGGUAUUCCUCCGUUUUUUUCGGUUUUUUACAUUUAUUGGGAACUUCUGAGAAAAUUGGAAAAAAAUUUAUUUUAAGUAUCUUUCCAUUGAAAUUUUCUUUUAGGAUUUAUCCUUCUUUAUCAUUAUAAGUUGUCGGAAAAUUGCUGACAGAAAAGUUGCCCACAAGAAAAAAGAAGGCCAUAAUAUUUUUAGCUAAUACCUAUAUUUCAUACAUUUUCCCUCUUUUCCUCAGUUUUUUUUUUCGCUUUUUCACAUUUGUUGAGAAACUUUAUAUCAACAAACACAAUAUAUAAUGACUAUGAAAUAUUUAAAAAAACAACCUACGUAGUUAUUUUUGAGAUGUUUGUUCUAGAAAAAAAAAAAAAGAGAAUAUUAAUAAUAGGUUUCUUUAUAAUUUUUUAUAAAUUAUAAUAACAUUAUUUAUAGUACCUAUAUAAUACAGAAAAAGAUCAUUAUUCUGUUAGGUUAGGUUGGGUUAUCUGAGUAUUAUUUCGUUUCAGAUGCCCCAUCUAUAUUAUAUGAUACUUAUAAUGAGCUUUAUUGAUAUCGAUAGUAAACUAAUUUUAUUUAUGCCGAGAUUGUUUUAAACUAAGUGGGCAAUGGUCAGUUUUCAGUGACGUGUAGAGGUGCAGUCACAAUAUCAAGGAAUGCAAAGACUAUAACAGAGCAGUUUCGCACAGACUUCUUGAUUGGCCAUAGUUAUUAUUAUAUAAAUAAUACAUUAUUUAAUAUUCAUAAAUGUAAAGAAUUUAUUUUAUAGACAAAUAAUAUGAUUUAGGAAUAUAAUAGUUUAUAUUAUUCCCAAUCAUGAUACUAUGAAAUGGAGCUCAUUAAAGUAGUAUAAUUCAAUACAGUACACCGAUGAUGUUUAAACUCAAUACGGAUAUUGUGGUAUGAUUAGGUACAUAAACUUGGGACAAAACUAAAUCAUAAAACUGAAACCUGUUUUACACUUGAAACUAAAUCAUGACAAUUUGGAAGGAAAAUUAUUUAUUAUGUUUAGUACGACCGGUAUAUGAUGAUGAAAAAGGAACAUAGAGAAGAAAAUAUAACAGGGUGUUAUAGGAAGAAAUAAACAUGGUUUUAGUAGUAAUCUUCAUAGGAGGACAAAGGAUCAAAAAUAAAAACGGCUUGCAACGUGUGGCUGCGAAAUGAGGAUGAUAUUAAUAAAGCAGUGCUGGAAUGAAAGCUAACGGUAAAGAAACCCGAG